AUGCAAAUAGACUGAAAGGCAGAACAACCAGAACAACCCAACAACUGGUCGUUAUGACGUGCGCUGACCACCAGGGGGCGUCAUGGAAUAUGGCGGGCGUCGGCUACAAUGGGAUGGUGAAGCAGAUAGUCCUUCCUGGAUUAUCCUCAUGUACGUGUACUUCUGUUUCCUGCCGGGCUUCUGAGUGAUGCUGACUCAUUAGCGUACGUUGAGUAUCACAUUCCAAGAAUUAAAUCAAAUGACGAGCUAAGGCUUUAUUCCAACAUUAUGAAGAGGCCAGGAGAAAAAUGGGACCUGACAGGCCAUCUGCACUACAGGCUCCCAACAACUCUGCAUGAGUUGCCUGCAAAACCACGGUGUAGAGAACGAUUGGGCAGCUGAGUCUUAGCACUGAGAGAGUGGCACUCAGGGCUGGUUCAAGUUAAAGAGUGCUGUUGUAAGGAAGAGUGGACAUACGUGGACAAUUCAAGGACAGGAAACAAGUUACCUGUCAGAGGCCUAAUGGGAGUCAGAAUUGGGAACAGGUCCAUUCCUCAAUCAAAUAUCAAGGCUACCCUUCCUGUCUCUCAGGAGUUCACAGUUUCUCUUUGUUCCCCUCCUCACCCUACCCCCACAUCUGCUCUCUUCUCCUCUGCCCUCCUCUGCUUGCUCAUAUUGCACAUGGCCUUCAAGUGGCUGACUUAUGAUCAUCAAGUUGGGCCAGAUCAUUUAUGCCCCAAGUCACCAGUCAUUCAGCAGUGCUAAGUAAAUGCCUAUAUGUGACAGGCCCUGUGGAUAAAGCCAUGAAGAAACCCAACAAAGAUGUUUUUCUAGAGCUUAGGUUAGAGCAGUGUCGGUAAACUCAUUAGUCAACAGAGCCAAAUAUCAACAAUACAACUAUUGAAAUUUCUUUUGAGAGCCAAAUUUUUUAAACUUAAACUAUAUAGGUAGGUACAUUGUUAUUAACUUAAUUAGGGUACUCCUAAGCUGGCCUUUGCUAAAAACGUCCUCAAUCUGAUUGAGGUACGUUUGCUGAGGUCACCCCCUUCCAACUUUCCCAUCCACACUCGUCUUGUAUGCUUGU
Molecule: long non-coding RNA, 1063 nt
Organism: Myotis daubentonii (Daubenton's bat)
Lineage: Eukaryota; Metazoa; Chordata; Mammalia; Chiroptera; Vespertilionidae
Exons: 5
Source: RefSeq, a predicted model, not a curated record